Lucilia cuprina (Australian sheep blowfly) is the source of this 365-nucleotide long non-coding RNA. RefSeq lists it as uncharacterized. NCBI's taxonomy places the organism in Eukaryota, Metazoa, Arthropoda, Insecta, Diptera, Calliphoridae. The record is from RefSeq and is a predicted model, not a curated record. The transcript has 2 exons.
UCCACUCCGAACUGCAGGGUUAUAUAAUCGAUUCGUAUUAUUAUGUAAAUGUCGUCAUUACAAAUAUUAUCAGAAAUGCGUGUAUAAGAGUAUAAAACCUUAGCAGAUUAUAAAAUAUUUUAAAGUAUUCCAAUAUCUUUUGUUGAGGCCUGUUGCAUUUUUUUCGAUCUUCAGCAUUAAUAUGAAACUAUUUCUGUUUGUACUUGUAGCUGGAUACAUUGCAGCCGGUGUAUUGGCUGAUCCAGAAGAACCCUGUUUCGUAAACUCUGGUUAUGCUACUUUAAGAAGAAAAGAUUUUCAUUGAUUAAAAAAUCAUUCAAUGAAACAAAAAUGUUGUUUAAAUUUGCAAAAUGAUUGUUACUGAA